Molecule: ribosomal RNA, 253 nt
Filed under: uncultured bacterium
Lineage: Bacteria
Description: partial 16S ribosomal RNA
Rfam family: Bacterial small subunit ribosomal RNA
Source: RNAcentral
UACGUAGGGGGCAAGCGUUGUCCGGAUUUAUUGGGCGUAAAGAGCGUGUAGGCGGCCAUACAGGUCAGCUGUGAAAACUCGAGGCUCAACCUCGAGACGUCGGUUGAAACCGUAUGGCUAGAGUCCGGAAGAGGAGAGUGGAAUUCCCGGUGUAGCGGUGAAAUGCGCAGAUAUCGGGAAGAACACCUAUGGCGAAGGCGGCUCUCUGGGACGGUACUGACGCUGAGACGCGAAAGCGUGGGGAGCAAACAGG